RNAcentral lists this ribosomal RNA (490 nucleotides) under uncultured bacterium. RNAcentral describes it as "partial 16S ribosomal RNA". It matches the Rfam family "Bacterial small subunit ribosomal RNA", at positions 30 to 507 of the family's 1533-position model. The record is from RNAcentral.
AUUGAACGCUGGCGGCAGGCCUAACACAUGCAAGUCGAACGGUAACAGGAAACAGCUUGCUGUUUCGCUGACGAGUGGCGGACGGGUGAGUAAUGUCUGGGAAACUGCCUGAUGGAGGGGGAUAACUACUGGAAACGGUAGCUAAUACCGCAUAACGUCGCAAGACCAAAGAGGGGGACCCUCGGGCCUCUUGCCAUCGGAUGUGCCCAGAUGGGAUUAGCUUGUUGGUGGGGUAACGGCUCACCAAGGCGACGAUCCCUAGCUGGUCUGAGAGGAUGACCAGCCACACUGGAACUGAGACACGGUCCAGACUCCUACGGGAGGCAGCAGUGGGGAAUAUUGCACAACGGGCGCAAGCCUGAUGCAGCCAUGCCGCGUGUAUGAAGAAGGCCUUCGGGUUGUAAAGUACUUUCAGCGGGGAGGAAGGGAGUAAAGUUAAUACCUUUGCUCAUUGACGUUACCCGCAGAAGAAGCACCGGCUAACUCCGUG